Long non-coding RNA from Triticum aestivum (bread wheat), 425 nucleotides. RefSeq lists it as uncharacterized. The transcript has 2 exons. Lineage: Eukaryota; Viridiplantae; Streptophyta; Magnoliopsida; Poales; Poaceae. The record is from RefSeq and is a predicted model, not a curated record.
ACACAUGUGUGCGGCAAUGGGCUGCGUGCACACACUCACUGUGCAGGUUACACAGUUCCUGUUAUAACGCUACCUACACCCCCACCUCCGGGCAGUACCUAGAAAUUCAUUGUAAGGGCUGUCUGAUAAUGUGGAGAAAUAAGUGAAUAAAAAAAGGAAUGAUGUGGCAUUUGCAUAAUGUGUUCUUUAUUUGGAUGCAAAUAUAAAAGGAAAAUGGCCAUGAACUCGUCGUUCUUUCUAUUAGCCAUGUUUGUAAGAUGCAAAGACAUGCAUGUCCGCAUUCCACCGCAAAAGAAAAAAAACGCCAUGUCCGCAUUAAUCCGAUGAGAUUAGAAAAUAAGGAAAUUGACAAGUGAUGUUUGAUUACAUCAUAAAAGGGAAAUGGAUCUCAUGACCCCAUAAUUUUUACCAAGAGCUUGGCUCAA